This 425-nucleotide ribosomal RNA is filed under the name uncultured bacterium. Its description in RNAcentral is "bacterial SSU rRNA". It matches the Rfam family "Bacterial small subunit ribosomal RNA", at positions 356 to 773 of the family's 1533-position model. The record is from RNAcentral.
UAGGAAUAUUCGUCAAUGGGGGAAACCCUGAACGAGCAAUGCCGCGUGAGUGAUGAAGGUCUUCAUGAUUGUAAAACUCUGUUGUAAAGGAAGAAUAGCUACCAUAGGUAAUGAUGGUAGUCUGACGGUACUUUACCAGAAAGCCCCGGCUAACUACGUGCCAGCAGCCGCGGUAAUACGUAGGGGGCGAGCGUUAUCCGGAUUUAUUGGGCGUAAAGCGUUCGUAGGCGGUUUGUUAAGUCUAAGAUUUAAGCCCGAGGCUCAACCUCGGUUCGUCUUAGAAACUGGCAAACUUGAGUGUGGUAGAGGCAAGUGGAAUUUCUAGUGUAGCGGUUAAAUGCGUAGAUAUUAGAAGGAACACCAGUGGCGAAGGCGGCUUGCUGGGCCAUCACUGACGCUGAGGAACGAAAGCGUGGGGAGCAAAU